Molecule: ribosomal RNA, 252 nt
Filed under: uncultured bacterium
Lineage: Bacteria
Description: partial 16S ribosomal RNA
Rfam family: Bacterial small subunit ribosomal RNA
Source: RNAcentral
UACGUAGGUGGCAAGCGUUAUCCGGAAUUAUUGGGCGUAAAGCGCGCGCAGGCGGUUUCUUAAGUCUGAUGUGAAAGCCCACGGCUCAACCGUGGAGGGUCAUUGGAAACUGGGGAACUUGAGUGCAGAAGAGAAAAGCGGAAUUCCACGUGUAGCGGUGAAAUGCGUAGAGAUGUGGAGGAACACCAGUGGCGAAGGCGGCUUUUUGGUCUGUAACUGACGCUGAGGCGCGAAAGCGUGGGGAGCAACAGG